Xyrichtys novacula (pearly razorfish) is the source of this 83-nucleotide non-coding RNA. The record is from the annotation of a GenBank genome assembly. Lineage: Eukaryota; Metazoa; Chordata; Actinopteri; Labriformes; Labridae.
UACCAGGGUAGUACCAGGGUAAUUGCAGUUGCCCUUGUACUACCCCGGUAUUACACUGCAGUUACCCCGGUACUACCGUGGUA